UACGGAGGGUGCAAGCGUUAAUCGGAAUUACUGGGCGUAAAGCGCGCGUAGGUGGUUUGUUAAGUCGGAUGUGAAAGCCCAGGGCUCAACCUUGGAAUUGCAUCCGAUACUGGCAGGCUAGAGUACGGUAGAGGGUGGUAGAAUUUCCAGUGUAGCGGUGAAAUGCGUAGAGAUUGGAAGGAAUACCAGUGGCGAAGGCGGCCACCUGGACUGAUACUGACACUGAGGUGCGAAAGCGUGGGUAGCAAACAGG
RNAcentral lists this ribosomal RNA (253 nucleotides) under uncultured bacterium. RNAcentral describes it as "partial 16S ribosomal RNA". It matches the Rfam family "Bacterial small subunit ribosomal RNA", at positions 524 to 776 of the family's 1533-position model. The record is from RNAcentral.